UACGGAGGGUGCAAGCGUUAUCCGGAUUCACUGGGUUUAAAGGGUGUGUAGGCGGGCUGUUAAGUCAGUGGUGAAAUCUCCGGGCUCAACCCGGAAACUGCCAUUGAUACUAUCAGUCUUGAAUAUUGUUGAGGUGGGCGGAAUAUGUCAUGUAGCGGUGAAAUGCAUAGAGAUGACAUAGAACACCGAUUGCGAAGGCAGCUCACUAAACAUGUAUUGACGCUGAGGCACGAAAGCGUGGGGAUCAGACAGG
RNAcentral lists this ribosomal RNA (253 nucleotides) under uncultured bacterium. RNAcentral's name for it is "partial 16S ribosomal RNA". It matches the Rfam family "Bacterial small subunit ribosomal RNA", at positions 524 to 776 of the family's 1533-position model. The record is from RNAcentral.